This 562-nucleotide ribosomal RNA is filed under the name uncultured bacterium. Its description in RNAcentral is "bacterial SSU rRNA". It matches the Rfam family "Bacterial small subunit ribosomal RNA", at positions 338 to 916 of the family's 1533-position model. The record is from RNAcentral.
CCUACGGGAGGCAGCAGUGGGGAAUAUUGGACAAUGGGCGCAAGCCUGAUCCAGCAAUGCCGCGUGUGUGAAGAAGGUCUUCGGAUUGUAAAGCACUUUCGACGGGGACGAUGAUGACGGUACCCGUAGAAGAAGCCCCGGCUAACUUCGUGCCAGCAGCCGCGGUAAUACGAAGGGGGCUAGCGUUGCUCGGAAUGACUGGGCGUAAAGGGCGCGUAGGCGGAUGAUACAGUCAGAUGUGAAAUUCCCGGGCUCAACCUGGGGGCUGCAUUUGAUACGUGCUGUCUAGAGUGAGGAAGAGGGUCGUGGAAUUCCCAGUGUAGAGGUGAAAUUCGUAGAUAUUGGGAAGAACACCGGUGGCGAAGGCGGCGACCUGGUCCUUUACUGACGCUGAGGCGCGAAAGCGUGGGGAGCAAACAGGAUUAGAUACCCUGGUAGUCCACGCCGUAAACGAUGUGUGCUGGAUGUUGGGUGACAUAGUCACUCAGUGUCGUAGCUAACGCGAUAAGCACACCGCCUGGGGAGUACGGCCGCAAAGGUUGAAACUCAAAUGAAUUGACGG